Molecule: transfer RNA, 73 nt
Filed under: Patescibacteria group bacterium
Lineage: Bacteria
Description: tRNA-Thr
Rfam family: tRNA
About the family: Transfer RNA (tRNA) molecules are approximately 80 nucleotides in length. Their secondary structure includes four short double-helical elements and three loops (D, anti-codon, and T loops).
Source: RNAcentral
GCCACCGUAGCUCAGUUGGUAGAGCAGCGCUUUUGUAAAGCGUUGGUCGGGGGUUCGAAUCCUCCCGGUGGCU